Molecule: ribosomal RNA, 253 nt
Filed under: uncultured bacterium
Lineage: Bacteria
Description: partial 16S ribosomal RNA
Rfam family: Bacterial small subunit ribosomal RNA
Source: RNAcentral
UACGUAGGGUGCAAGCGUUAAUCGGAAUUACUGGGCGUAAAGGGCGCGUAGGCGGCGUGACAAGUCACUUGUGAAAUCUCCGGGCUUAACUCGGAACGGUCAAGUGAUACUGUCGUGCUAGAGUACAGAAGGGGCAACUGGAAUUCUCGGUGUAGCGGUGAAAUGCGUAGAUAUCUGGAGGAACACCGGUGGCGAAGGCGGCAUCCUGGACCGGUAUUGACGCUGAGGCGCGAAAGCCAGGGGAGCAAACGGG